Molecule: ribosomal RNA, 253 nt
Filed under: uncultured bacterium
Lineage: Bacteria
Description: partial 16S ribosomal RNA
Rfam family: Bacterial small subunit ribosomal RNA
Source: RNAcentral
UACGUAGGGGGCUAGCGUUGUCCGGAUUUAUUGGGCGUAAAGAGCGUGUAGGCGGCCAGGUAGGUCUGGUGUGAAAACUCGAGGCUUAACCUCGAGAUGUCAUCGGAAACCAUCUGGCUAGAGUCCGGAAGAGGAGAGUGGAAUUCCUGGUGUAGCGGUGAAAUGCGCAGAUAUCGGGAAGAACACCUAUGGCGAAGGCAGCUCUCUGGGACGGUACUGACGCUGAGACGCGAAAGCGUGGGGAGCGAACAGG